CUUCUUUCGUUUCACUCUUGGCGUGGUGGUCAAAAGAGAGGAAAUCUAGGUCACACCGACAGUGGCUUCUUCUGCUGCUGCAAUUGUUCCUCAAGGUGAUCGAAUCGCUCAUAAAUCGGCUCCAUGCAGCAACAAUUUCCAGAUGGUAAAGCUGAUGACAUGGGUAAAUAAUACUGAAGUUGAAAGAGUAGUUGGUUUAGGUGCUGUCUUUAGUGCUCUCUUUCCAGCACAUGCAGACAAUGCUCUUCGACAUCCUGCCGCUUUUGCAAAUCCCUCAAAUUGCUGCUCAAGUUCAACCUCAAAUUUAUCAACUUCUAAUGCACUGUCUACACGCGGAGAUUCUGCCUUUACGAUGAAUUGCUGAAUCAGGUGGUGCAUCUGGCUUAUUGGUGAUCAAUGACAGUGAAGAUCUUUACAAAUUGGCGUGUUAUGAAAAUCAUACUUCCAUAAACAUUACGUUCCAAUUCAUGUUGCCAUGAUCGCGAAGUUGACAGGAGAGACUUGAAAGUAUUAAGUUAGCCGGAUGUCGGGAACCGCAGUUCUCUUUUUAUAAAGAGACUUAGCUUUAGAAGUACCAUGUCUAUAUGCUUGUAAGGUGUACCAUGUCUAUAUGCUUGUAAGGUCUCAUACAUUAGGCCAGUGACAAGUGCAAGUCGUUCAUCCACGGGGCGUAAUACUAACAUCUGUACACUUUCAACCACACAUCUCCAGAUGCUUUGUAUAUGCCACUGUUUGGUCUCUUCCGCUGCUGAGACUAAGGAUGUUUUUGAUAUCAAUGCCAGGGGUGCUGUGGUUGUCAUUGUAGCAUCAGUCUUUCUGAUGCCACUGUACUUCUUUAUGUCGGCGUGGUUCAUUUGGCUGCUGAUCGUACUAUUUUGCAUUGGUGGAACUGAGUUACUGAGCUACAUAGAUUUUUUUUAGAAUUUCCUCCGUACUUUUUUUUCCCAUCGAAACUUGACUAUAUGGGCAUCAAUUGUAAAGGUUUGCUUCAUGACCGAGGUAUUGGUGUUCCACGUAUAAGACCUUCUUACUUUGUUUACUUAAGAUAUUCAUUUUUGUAUUUAAUGUUUGGAGAGGUGCUGUUAGUAAUAAUCAGUAACUAAUAUGCACAGCAGACCAGAAGAACGAGAUAGAAACAUUUGUGCUUCUUGAUCUUUUGCUGAACACCUCAUUGUUUUUUGUAUACUUCGCCACACAGUGCAAAUAUUACAAGCAGGAAACUUUAACUAA
Molecule: long non-coding RNA, 1230 nt
Organism: Papaver somniferum (opium poppy)
Lineage: Eukaryota; Viridiplantae; Streptophyta; Magnoliopsida; Ranunculales; Papaveraceae
Exons: 6
Source: RefSeq, a predicted model, not a curated record